UGAGGAAUAUUGGGCAAUGGGGGCAACCCUGACCCAGCAAUGCCGCGUGCAGGAGGACGCCCUUCGGGGUGUAAACUGCUUUUGUGGGGGAGCAGACAAGGAGCGUACCCCACGAAUAAGUCACGGCUAACUACGUGCCAGCAGCCGCGGUAAUACGUAGGUGGCGAACGUUAUCCGGAGUGACUGGGUGGAAAGGGUCCGUAGGCGGGAGAGCAAGUCUGACGUGAAAGCGCCUGGCUCAACUAGGCGACUGCGUUGGAAACUGCUGUUCUUGAAUCACGCAGAGGUCGGCGGAAUUCCCGGUGUAGUGGUGGAAUGCGUAGAGAUCGGGAGGAACCUCGAAAGCGAAGGCAGCCGACUGGGGGAUGAUUGACGCUGAGGGACGAAAGCGUGGGGAGCGAA
RNAcentral lists this ribosomal RNA (402 nucleotides) under uncultured bacterium. RNAcentral describes it as "bacterial SSU rRNA". It matches the Rfam family "Bacterial small subunit ribosomal RNA", at positions 355 to 772 of the family's 1533-position model. The record is from RNAcentral.